Orcinus orca (killer whale) is the source of this 2486-nucleotide long non-coding RNA. RefSeq lists it as uncharacterized. The record is from RefSeq and is a predicted model, not a curated record. NCBI's taxonomy places the organism in Eukaryota, Metazoa, Chordata, Mammalia, Artiodactyla, Delphinidae. The transcript has 3 exons.
GGCCAGAGGCCGGGCGGGCGGCGCGGACCUGAGCGAGCUCGGGCGGCAGUGCGUGGAAGGGGCCCUCCAGACGCGGGCUUCACCGCCCGGCGGAGCCCAGCCCGCAGCUUCUCCCGGGACGCUCGGAGCCUGCUGCCCGGGGCGCCGGCUGAGCCAGGCAGCGCCCAGUGCUGGCCCAGGAGAGGGGCCCCCAGCUUGGCUCCGGCUCUUCCAGGCUGGCCACCUUGGGCGGGAGCAGCCAGGUGUGGAGCCCAACGCCUGCGAACAAGGCUCCUGACAUUAGGCCUCUGCAGAGAUGCAGCUCCAGACCCCCAGGAAGGCAGUGGUUUGCUCUGGGAAAACGUCCCAAGCCUGCUCAUUCUUUACGCAGAUGUCCUUCAGCCCUCAGAGGUAGCCCUUCUAGACCCUGUGCUCAAGACAGCUUGUGUGGGCCUCUCUGGUGGGGGUGCUGUGACCGCCCGAGGCCUGGCCGGCCCCCAACCGGCCUCAUCUCACUCAUGUUCCUCAGGCUGAGGGAUGGAGCCCAGGGAAUUGGUGGAUCUCUGAGCCUUCCAGUGACUCCUGGAUGUGGUGAGGCCCCUCUGCCUGCAGGCCAAGGUUGGGGUUCAGUGGGGGGCUCUGAGCACCUCAGAUCCCUUGCUCCCAUCUGUCUGUGGAAUAAUUAAUUUUCCUAGCUCAAGGCUUGUCCUUUGACUGGACUACAAGGAGCCUUAGGCAAGGAGCCUGCUCUGGGUGUCAGCACCCAGGUUCCAGCUUGAGAACCCACAGGAGCUCCCUUGUCCAACCCCGGAAGGGCCAGCUUCACCUGCAGGCUUCAGCAUUGCUGGCUCCGGUUCCUCAGCCCAUGUUUUCUUUGGCUUUGGGUCUCUGGGACACCAGAUUGUCCAAAACAAGAUGACUUCGUGAUACUCAUUUUCCCAAACAAAAGAGGCUGCAACACAAUCAGGUUCUUUGUGUGCAGUGCGGUCCCCAGCUGCUCCCUCUCCAGUUGCCCCCAUCCCUGCCCCACCCAGGUUCCCUUGGGGCAUAGAGCACUCCCCAUUCCCAGUGGCCAGGGGUCUUUGGUCUAGGAUUGGACCAGGCUGGGCAGAGAGGGCAGACCCAAAUCCCACCCCCAUAGACCAUCACUGGUCCACAGCCCUUCCCUCUCUCUUCCUUUGGGUGCCAGCAGAGCCCCUGUGAGAAGAAGCAGGAAAUGGGAAUAGUCUAGAGCAGCGGUCCCCAACCUUUUUGGCACCAGGGACCAGUUUCGUGGAAGGCAAUUUUUCUAUGGACUGGUGGCAGGUUGGUGGGGUUGGUUCAGGCGGUAAUGUGAGCGGUGGGGAACAACAGAUGCAGUUUCCCUCGCUCACUGCUCACCUCCUGCUGUGCGGCCUGGUUCCUAACAGGCCGUGGACCAGUACCGGUCCAUGGCCCGGGGGUUGGGGACCCCUGGUCUAGAGCACAGGGUCUAGAGUUAGACACCUGAGUACAAAUCCCAGCUGUACUACAAACUAGCUGUGUGCCCUGAACAAGGUACCAAAUGACUGUGGAACUCACUUGCCUUGUCAGUAAAAUGGAGACAAUAGAGGUACCUAUUGCCUAGGGUUUGUGAGAGGAGUCAUUGGGCCUAGCCUAUAGUAAUCCCUCAAAAAACGGCUAUCCUUUUGCGUGGGAUUGGCUGAGCAGUCACUAAGGGGUCUGCCAAGUGGUCCUGGGCCAAACUUAGGCCACACCUAGGAUGGAGACCCUGAACCCCUACCCCAUAGAUGCUUCCUUGUUCCCAGGCCAGCUCUGCCCUGCAGUCUCUCUGAGUAGGCUCCAGACCUAGGCUGGCUCUCUCCUGAGUCACUCUACUGCAUGGCCAUCAACGACUUGGCACCUCAACUGGACAGACGAGCCCAGGGGGCACUCACAGAUUGUUGGGUACAUGAAUCCCUGCUGGUGGAGGCCUCCGUCUUUCUCUAGGGAAAGAGAAGUCAUGGACAAGCAGCCUUGGCUCCUCAGGGCCAGGCGCAUGAGUGCUCAGAAAUGUGCUAAACGUGUGGUGAAGGAAGGAAAAGGCUCUGGAUUUCCUACACUGCUCAUGGGACACAAAAGAGAAUGGUUGCCAGGGGCUGGGGGGAGUGGACAGUUACUGUCUAAUGGUGCAGAGCUUCAAUGUGAGAAGAUAAAAAGUUCUGGAGAUGGUGAUGGUUGCACAAGAAUAUGAAUAUAGGGAUUUCCUUGGUGGCGCAGUGGUUGAGAAUCUGCUGCCAAUGCAGGGGACACGGAUUCGGGCCCUGGUCCAGGAAGAUCCCACAUGCUGCAGAGCAACUAAGCCCAUGUGCCACAACUACUGAGCCCAUGUGCCACAACUACUGAGCCUGUGCUCUAGAGCCCACGUGCCACAACUACUGAGCCUGUGUGCCACAACUACUGAAGCCCGCGCACCUAGAGCCUGUGCUCCACAACAAGAGAAGCCACCGCAAUGAGAAACCCGCGCACCGCAAUGAAGAGUAGCCCCC